CCUACGGGAGGCAGCAGUGGGGGAUAUUGCACAAUGGGGGGAACCCUGAUGCAGCGACGCCGCGUGGGUGAAGAAGCGCCUCGGCGCGUAAAGCCCUGUCAGCAGGGAAGAAAAUGACGGUAACUGAAGAAGAAGCCCCGGCUAACUACGUGCCAGCAGCCGCGGUAAUACGUAGGGGGCAAGCGUUAUCCGGAUUUACUGGGUGGAAAGGGGGAGCAGACGGCGAUGCAAGCCAGGAGUGAAAGCCCGGGGCCCAACCCCGGGACUGCUCUUGGAACUGCGUGGCUGGAGUGCAGGAGGGGCAGGCGGAAUUCCUGGUGUAGCGGUGAAAUGCGUAGAUAUCAGGAGGAACACCGGUGGCGAAGGCGGCCUGCUGGACUGCAACUGACGUUGAGGCCCGAAAGCGUGGGGAGCAAACAGGAUUAGAUACCCCGGUAGUC
RNAcentral lists this ribosomal RNA (440 nucleotides) under uncultured bacterium. RNAcentral's name for it is "partial 16S ribosomal RNA". It matches the Rfam family "Bacterial small subunit ribosomal RNA", at positions 338 to 795 of the family's 1533-position model. The record is from RNAcentral.